Molecule: long non-coding RNA, 508 nt
Organism: Cydia pomonella (codling moth)
Lineage: Eukaryota; Metazoa; Arthropoda; Insecta; Lepidoptera; Tortricidae
Exons: 3
Source: RefSeq, a predicted model, not a curated record
ACAGAAAAAAAUGGACACGUGUAGUAAAUGGUGCGUUUAUCCUUAUCGGGACACGUUUAGCCGUGACGAGUCAGUGCUGGCAGCGAGCGGCGCGCGCGCUAGGCCUAAAUACGCGGCGCGUUGCGCCCCGCGCCAAAAAUUCGCAAACUUCCACGCGAAAAUACUUAAUAAGAUUCUUAUAGGCCUAUUUUGUAUUGCAUAUCAAAAUGACCGGAUUUUAAUAUAGUUUGCAAUUAAAGUUGAGUUUUGGACGGACAUUGGUCAAAAUAUAGUAUUUUUUGGUAAUUUGUGAAGUGCCUGUGAGGACCCGUAAUGACGUGAGCAAAGUGGCUUGCUGAUGGAUUUUAAUGGAUUUUACCAGAAAAUAUUGAAAAAAUAUGUUUGCGGACGGAAGACGCACACAUGCACACGCUACAGGAUUGCGCGUGUGUGAGUGCGCUGCAAGCGGAUACGGGGAAAACGAACCGGCUCAUGUUACGAGAGAUCAAGGAAAGGAAUUAUGAGGUAC